CCAUGGUCCCACCAUCCCCCACAUGGGAAAUGGCAGGCGGCGUGCCGCAGGGGUUAACUGCUGAAAGCGUUUCAAAUUCGGCUGUCGAGAACGAAAAAGUGGCGAGGCAUCCAGCUUCCGAACGUGCGUGAGUUAAGCAGCACAGUGUAGGAGCAGUCAGCGUUGCAGAGAGAGGCCAUUCUGUGAUUCUGAGACUUCCUGGUCAUUCUGGAGCAUCAGCAGCUGUACCUGGAUAUGAAUUGCACUGUGAUACAGGGAGAAACUGGAGCUGCCUCAUCAGUGCCAUUUCCGUGUUGUCAGAUCUCAGGAGAAGGACAGCAUGGAUGAAUUUGUGCAACAACCCUUCCAGCCAUAGAAGAUUAUAUCUUACAAGAAAAUCCACUGGUGACCUGUAAGCUUCGCUGGCCAUUCCUCACCCACAGUGGUAAGCAGUCUUUUGAGAUCAGCAAGAAUCUUUUUGGUAUACCUGGAAACUAGUCUGAUUAUCUAAGUUUCUAAAGACAUAAUUUAGAACCCACUCUCUGUGGACUAAAGAAUCUGUUUAGUGCUUGUUUCUUGUCUUGGCUGUUCCAUGAUAGUGAGCUUUACCACUUGAACUCACUGAUUGAAGUUUUAAGCUGAAUUUAUUUUAUUUCUUUUUCCAAAAUCUGUUACCAAAAUUCAGAGUAUUUUGCAGUUCAAAAACUGUUCUUUGCUUCAUCAAAGAUUUUAUUAAACUGGUCUGUCCCAUCCUCCUCACAGGACUGUAGUGGUGCGUAUCCUUGUAUGAUACAGAUAACAGGAAUUACGAGAUUGGCUCUGAAAUAAUAGGGAUGAUACUUUAUCCUCAUCUGCCAUCUGAAGGAAUUGGAGUAAAGGCUGUCAAUUACAGAUCUAAUUGACUAGCCUUACAGAUGUGCUGUGUUAGGAUGAAGGCAUUUGGUUCUUAACAGACACAGAGCCCAAGCUUUCUCACUGCGUUUCUGUUACAUGUAAGGAUUAAUGCUGAAUAACAGUGAUAACAGAUGAAUCCCAUCUGGUUUUCUGUUAUUUGUUAGUUCAAUUCAGUGUAUAACUACUCACAGUUUAGUCUGCCAGCCAAGGAAGGUAUGCAAUUAUCAACAAUACUGAUAGGACAAACCUGUUAUGUAAGCAUACUUUCAGAUCUCUCUAAAUUCCAUAAUAAAACUCUUGAGGUGAAAUGCACCAGCUUACAGAAUGAUUCAGCAUCAAGGAGAGGUGUGCUUCAGAGCUCUGGGUAGACUAAAUGUCCUUGCUGACUGAUCCUGUGCCUUCCAGUUGAUCUCCUUCCUAUUGCCUCUUUCAGGCAUGAAAUAUAGCAGGAUACUUAUAAGAAGUAGAAACAAGAAAAACACAGAGUUGUAAGGAAGAUUUGUGUUCGGAAGACUGUGGGGGCCCAAGCACAGCAUGCACUGUAUUUGGGGGUGGGGAGGGUCUCGUUAGUGUGACACCUUUGAGCUGUAACUUGUUUCUCCAACUGUGUAUCCAAUCACUGGCAUGGCAGGAGUCCAAAAUAAUCCUCUUUGGAGAGAGGAAAGUGCCUGUGGAGCUGGGCUGAAGUUGUCCUUUCCUUGUAGAGAUAUGCAUAGUGUGGGAGGUGGUUCCUCCUUCCUCCUUAGCCCCUGUGAAAACUGAUAACUCCAUGAGACGGUCAACUAUGCAACUGCAGAUCCACAGAGCAUCACAGAAGUCUGAGAUGCUCUCUCCCGACACACAACUAAGCAGUACACAGACAUGGAAGCAGCUUCACAAACUUGCUAACAGAUGCCCCAUACCAAGUUAAGUUAGUGAUGGGUGAGGUGGGAGAAUGAUAGCCCAAAAAGCUGAUAUUGAAGAAAAAGGAUGAGGCAGUGGAAGAUGAAAGGAAGUACAGACGCUGAUUUGAUUUGCCAUUGUUUGCUAGAAAUGUAUCCUUUUGCCCAC
Long non-coding RNA from Tympanuchus pallidicinctus (lesser prairie-chicken), 1923 nucleotides. RefSeq lists it as uncharacterized. The transcript has 3 exons. The record is from RefSeq and is a predicted model, not a curated record. NCBI's taxonomy places the organism in Eukaryota, Metazoa, Chordata, Aves, Galliformes, Phasianidae.